GAUGAACGCUGGCGGCGUGCCUAAUACAUGCAAGUCGAGCGAACGGACGAGAAGCUUGCUUCUCUGAUGUUAGCGGCGGACGGGUGAGCAACACGUGGAUAACCUACCUAUAAGACUGGGAUAACUUCGGGAAACCGGAGCUAAUACCGGAUGAUAUUUUGAACCGCAUGGUUCAAAAGUGAAAGACGGUCUUGCUGUCACUUAUAGAUGGAUCCGCGCUGCAUUAGCUAGUUGGUAAGGUAACGGCUUACCAAGGCAACGAUGCAUAGCCGACCUGAGAGGGUGAUCGGCCACACUGGAACUGAGACACGGUCCAGACUCCUCCGGGAGGCAGCAGUAGGGAAUCUUCCGCAAUGGGCGAAAGCCUGACGGAGCAACGCCGCGUGAGUGAUGAAGGUCUUCGGAUCGUAAAACUCUGUUAUUAGGGAAGAACAUAUGUGUAAGUAACUGUGCACAUCUUGACGGUACCUAAUCAGAAAGCCACGGCUAACUACGUG
RNAcentral lists this ribosomal RNA (497 nucleotides) under uncultured bacterium. RNAcentral's name for it is "partial 16S ribosomal RNA". It matches the Rfam family "Bacterial small subunit ribosomal RNA", at positions 28 to 507 of the family's 1533-position model. The record is from RNAcentral.